UCGGGCUUUAUUCGUGCCCAUGAGACCCGCACCCUGCCUGGGAUGCACUUUUCAGAGAAACCGGGCCGUCUUUUCCUGGAGGUUUCGCGUUUUUCCAGAGCUCCACCACAGCAGAGAUUGAAUCUGCUUCCCCAGCCAGAGUGCACCCUCUCUGGCUUGGGUGAGUGCCUUGAGUGGCCAGGGCCAACAUCACCCACGGGCAUCGGGCUUUAUUCGUGCCCAUGAGACCCGCACCCUGCCUGGGAUGCACUUUUCAGAGAAAUCGGGCCGUCUUUUCCUGGAGGUUUCGCGUUUUUCCAGAGCUCCACCACAGCAGAGAUUGAAUCUGCUUCCCCAGCCAGAGUGCACCCUCUCUGGCUUGGGUGAGUGCCUUGAGUGGCCAGGGCCAAAA
Molecule: non-coding RNA, 391 nt
Organism: Pimephales promelas (fathead minnow)
Lineage: Eukaryota; Metazoa; Chordata; Actinopteri; Cypriniformes; Leuciscidae
Source: RefSeq, a predicted model, not a curated record